Molecule: long non-coding RNA, 666 nt
Organism: Phyllostomus hastatus (greater spear-nosed bat)
Lineage: Eukaryota; Metazoa; Chordata; Mammalia; Chiroptera; Phyllostomidae
Exons: 3
Source: RefSeq, a predicted model, not a curated record
CCGUGGCGCCCGACUUGGCUGAGCCCAGCUCAAGAUGCUGCUGACAAGCUUCGGGGCUGGUGCUUGAAAGACAGACUUGUGCUGUUGAAAGCAGCUUCUCAAGCAGAUAAGGUGUAUUUGAACAGGUGACGGUGGAUAUAUGCACAAGAGCAGUUUUUGCUUUCUUUGUCCCUUUCGUGGUGAGAGCAGGGGUGAGUUUUGAGGCGCUGACUAUCUGGAAGACAUAUGUCUCCCCCACAGAGAAUCUCCAUAGAAUUCAAUUCCAUAAUAGAAAGUUUUUCUCCCAACUGACCCCAGCCAGCAGCUUGUCACAGUAACUAUUAGCUGUUCUAUACUUCAUCUUAAGACAACUUUGUCAACUGAGCCUUAACUUACAAGGUUAUUUUAAAAUCCGAUUCUUUUACAGAGAUUAUUUGUUCCAAGGUAUCCUUUUAAAAACUUGGUUUUGUAUGCUUACAGAUUUUUCUGUAAUAGAACACUUUGAUGAUUAAAUUUGACCCUCUGACAGAAAGCAGAUCCAUGGAUUCCUAGGGGUGGGGAGGGGCUGGUUGCAGAGAGGCGCUGGGGCGUCUUGAGCAACUGUCAGUUACAGUGGUGAUGGGGCGGUGUUCAAAUUUUGGAUGAAUGUUACUGUGUGUAAGUUAUGCUUCAAUAAACGGGACUCUA